UCCUACGGGGCGCAGCAGUGGGGAAUUUUGGACAAUGGGCGCAAGCCUGAUCCGGCUAUUCCGCGUGUGGGAGGACGGCCUUCGGGUUGUAGACCACUUUUGUAGAGAACGAAAAGUCUGUUGAUAAUACCGAUAGAUGAUGACGGUACUCUAAGAAUAAGCACCGGCUAACUACGUGCCAGCAGCCGCGGUAAUACGUAGGGUGCGAGCGUUAAUCGGAAUUACUGGGCGUAAAGGGUGUGCAGGCGGUUUUGCAAGAUGGAUGUGAAAGCCCCGGGCUUAAACUGGGGAAGACAUACAUGAGU
RNAcentral lists this ribosomal RNA (305 nucleotides) under uncultured bacterium. Its description in RNAcentral is "bacterial SSU rRNA". It matches the Rfam family "Bacterial small subunit ribosomal RNA", at positions 337 to 634 of the family's 1533-position model. The record is from RNAcentral.